Molecule: transfer RNA, 73 nt
Filed under: Prevotellaceae bacterium
Lineage: Bacteria; Pseudomonadati; Bacteroidota; Bacteroidia; Bacteroidales; Prevotellaceae
Description: tRNA-Lys
Rfam family: tRNA
About the family: Transfer RNA (tRNA) molecules are approximately 80 nucleotides in length. Their secondary structure includes four short double-helical elements and three loops (D, anti-codon, and T loops).
Source: RNAcentral
GACUCCGUAGCUCAGCUGGUAGAGCAAAUGACUCUUAAUCAUUGGGUCGAGGGUUCGAGUCCCUCCGGGGUCA